This 61-nucleotide ribosomal RNA is filed under the name Dendrobium amplum. RNAcentral describes it as "partial 26S ribosomal RNA". Lineage: Eukaryota; Viridiplantae; Streptophyta; Magnoliopsida; Asparagales; Orchidaceae. RNAcentral also lists the same sequence under 2 other names. The record is from RNAcentral.
GCGACCCCAGGAUGGGCGAGGCCACCCGCCGAGUUUAAGCAUAUCAAUAAGCGGAGGAGAA